CCAUCCAAUCAAGCACAGCUACCCACACACACACAUGCACACACACACACACAUGCAACGAAAAAAAAAUUCAUUCCUGUAGUCAUCACCGCACGCGCGCACCUCCUCCCUCCCUCCUUCCCUCCCUCCCCGAGUACACGUCGCUGUCUGCCUCCAUUUUCUUUCACACAGCUCAGGAUCCUGUACUGGUCUCAUCUUCACCAGUCCCCAGCAGACCGCUCGCUGAUCGCGUGCACUGCUGCUGUCCUGCUCGCUGCCGUUGUCUCCACCUCGUGCAGCGUGUCUACCUUGUUCGGACACCUUCUCUCGUCGGUGUGUUCUCGCGUGUUGAUCCAACGCUUGGUGCGUGCACGUGAGUGUGUGUACACAAUCACCGUUCUUCGAUGGGUGCACUGCUCGUGACACUGCUGCAGUGCCGCAACAACCAGUCUCUCUACCCGAACCUCAGCGCUACACAGCACAACCAGUAUGUUUCGUGUCGGCAGCCGUGCUCGGUGCCGCUGCUGCCCGAUGCGCGCGCCUACGGCCGGCAAUCACACCAGCAUAGCUCGCUCAUGACCUCGACCACCGCCACGGUGCCGACGGACGCGGUGGGCGAUGAGGCCACUUCUGGGCCACCGGUGGCGAGGCGCGUGCAGCCCACUAACGCAGGCACCCCGUCCUCAACAUCCUUCGCUGGUGUUGUGAGUGAUAUGCGAGGAGCUGAAAAGCAACUCUUCAACCUUUCCAAGGUCUGCGAGGAGGGAGGCGUCACGGGUGUCACCACGGCUGAUGCCGACGGCGAUGCGGCAGCCGCGAUCUCGCGUCUGCUCCUUGCACGCCUGCUUGCCACCAAGUCAACGCCGACGCCGCCCUCGACCGAUUCGUUGCAUCCGCAGCUGCAGAACCGUGCGGCACAGAAGCCGGCAGUGGACAACGCUCUCUGCACCAACACCCUCCCCACAGUCCCACCGCUGUCAUCGGCAUGGAUGGCGAGCUCCCCCUCGGCCACACCGCCGACGCAGCCUCAAAACUGCCCCUCCCUGCCCUCCACAACGGUUUUCAUGCCCAGUGCCACGGCCGCCGCCCCUCUGGCACCGACCGCUCCGUCGAAGGGGCAGUGCAGCAACGGCACGGAGUCGCCCCUCGCCAUGCUGUUGCCGGUGGCCUCGAUGCCGACGCUCGCAGCGGCCGGUGGGCUGACGCUCACAUCGCAGGAUGCGCCUGUUGCGAAGGACGGCGACACCGUGAAGAGGAUGGCCUUGCCAGGUGACAACGCUGCCGCCGCGAGGCCGGACGAAGCGAACGACGCAGGCUGCAGCGUCGACAUCGAUGACGACGAGCUUGGCCCGAUGGACUGUGCAGACGCCUUCCAAUACUUCUUCGACGAGGACGAAGGGGCAUACCGGGACGUAGAGAGCGCCGUCUACGCGGCGCCGCAGAUGGCGCAUGUGCCAAUGCCCGUGUUGCGCGACCACUACCUAAACCUGCGUACGGCUCUGUACACGGAGAAGUCGUCAGCGGCGCUGACCGCACCGUCGGUGCCACCGCUUCUAGGUGGCAGCGUCGCGCCCACCAUCCCGAGCAUCUUUCUGCUAGGCGCCUCCGCGAACGUCCGCGGCGGGGGCGUGGCGAUGAAGAUGGCCGCGUGGUCACCGACGCAGCCGCCACCGCAACAGCAAGCCUUGAAAGCACUCUGUUGCCCUCAACAAACUCCGCUGAGCCUCCAUGAUGCGCUGCGCGCGAGCAUAACACGCGCGCUGCUGGAGACGGGAGAAGGCCUCGACGGCGAUGCGCACGACGCCGCGGCGGCGGCGGAUACCCCGUCAGGGCUGCAGCCCGGUGCCGGGCGCUUCGUUUCACUGGUGGAGGAGAUGGCGGCCGCGUGCCGCCGCAUCAGCGCCGCGCCGUACGUCUGCUGGCGCAGCGUUGAUCGCGUGACGGCGCUGCCGCCGGAAAACCCGCUGUGGCGGCGGCUCCACAACGGCGGCGGCAGCCGGGUGGACAACGCGCGCGGCGAGGCCGAGGACGACACGUCGUGCCCGCCAGUGAGCGAUGCGCCGCGCAAGCGCCGCUCACACCCCUCCGCUCUCCCAGACGGUGAUGGCGGCAGCGGCACCGAAGCUCAUCCACCCUCGUCGCAGCAGCAGUCCGAGUCGCUGUCGCUCUACUACCUUGGCCCGCAACAGUACAUGACCGCGGCUGUAUGGUGGUCGCGCGUGGAGGCGUUCGGCUUCGGUCUUCGCAGCACGGGCCUGCGCCCUGGUGACCUGAUCGGCAUCGUGGAAGACACGCGAUGGGAGUGGCUCGUCACGUGCUACGCGGCUUGGAGCGUUGGGCUCGUUGUCGUCGUCUUCGACAGCUCGGCGCGGACCAUGGCACGGGUCGCCAUGGACACCGCCCCCGAUAUGAAGGCAGUCGUGUGUAGCCCCACUGUGCAUCGCGAUUUGCGCCGGCACUACGACGCCGCCGCAGCAGCGGCUCGAAGCGCUCGCGCGCCAGCCCCCGUCACACCCACGACAGCAUACGAUAUGACGGACUGCCACGGCGGUGAGGAGGGCAACGACCAACGCCCGCAUAGCGCAUGCGCGAGCGGUGAGGCAGCGGCCGCGACACGGACGGGCCAACGUGGCAAGCACGACAGUGCCGAGGCGACCGCGACGUCCGAGCGCGCUGCAGCGAAGCCGCGAACGAAACAGCCUGCACCCUCACCCAUGUUUAUCGUCAUCCGCUCCGCCGGGCCUCCGCGCGGAGGCCGCAGCGACGGCGGUGACGGCCACGCGUCAGCCGCCGCGGCACCGCGGUCUUGGUGGUCGCGCACGAGCAUGCGCGAGCGGCAACCGUCGCACCAGGCGCACGACGUGACGGCGGAGGGGCACGAUGAAGUCGUGGACGAAGAAGGUGAGGACGAAGAAGAGGAGGCACUCUGGUGGAGCGACGUGCUCAUGCAUGGCGAGACGAAACUCAAGGCGUGGCGUCAGCGCAAGUUGCGAGAGCGACGGCUGCAGCAUCAGCAGCAGGCCCGUCUACGCCACCUGAAGCCGCAGCAGCGCGGCGCACGCGCCGCCGGCGCCAGCGUUGGUGGGAAUGCGGUCGCGUCCUCGCCGCCGUCCAGCGCCUCCCUCCGUCGUCCUCGUUUAUGUGGCGGGAUCGGCACGGAUGACCUGCGCGGCGCCGCGUUCGCGGCGGCAGCCUCGCAGGACGGGAGUGCCGCGUCCGUGGCCACCAGCGCCUGGCCCGGCCCCACCGAGGCCGUCAGUGACAGCGGUACAGCAACAGCGUGCGCGACGUCCUGCGCGGCGAACACGACGCCCACUAUGCUGGUCGGUGUCGCCGCCGCCACGAGGGAUGGCAAGAGCGGCGGCAGCGCAAGGUUCGCCGCCAACGAUGCAGCAAGGCGCGCGUCGGUGCCGCUGCGUGAAAGGAAUGCACUAACAGCGUCGCCUCUGCGUGGGAGCGGCGUUCGCUCUCCAGGCGCGCUGCCAGCGGCAUCGGCUCUGGCAGGCAGCGCCCCAACGAUCGCCGCGCCGCUGAUGAUGAUCGAUGACGGCCUGCCGCAGCUGCCACUGGCACCUCUCCAGCCAGACGACCUCGCCUUUAUCCUCUACACGGAAGGCGAUCCCAAAGGCGUCCUCCUCACGCAUGGCGCCGUCAAGGCAUCCGUGGCUGCGUACCACGAAUACCUUAACUCAACCGACGUCGACGGCGACGACGGGCUGCGUCGCGUGGCUGGAGGAGGCGACACGCUUACCAGCACUGCGAUCACCAGUAAAAACAGCUUCAGCACCGCAGAGAGCGCCGGACGCGGUGGGCAGGGCAGCAGUCGCAUAGCCCGCUACACGACGGCCUGCAUGCCCGCGCUGCGCUCCCGUACAGCGCCAGUGGGGCGGCCGUCGUACAUGGCGUACCUCCCUCUGCACGACGUCUGCGAGUUUGUGGCGGAGACAGCAUCGCUCCUGCGUGGCCUCCUCGUGUGCUACGGCACGCGCCGCACCCUCUUCGACACGUGGGCACGUCCGCACGGCGACCUCACCGAGUACAAGCCCACCAUCUUUCCCGCUCUGCCGGCGACACUGGCGCGCCUGCGCCGCACCGUUGAGUCGAUGGUGUCCACGGGGUAUCGCCAGCUGCUGUUUGAAGCCGCCUACGAGGCGCGGCGGCAGGCGAUGCGGCGCGGGUUGCAAACACCGUUCCUGCUCUCCACCAUCUUCGCUCCCUCGCGCAAGCUGCUCGGUGGCCGCUGCCGGCUCGUGCUCAUCCGUGGCGGGCCUGGCGCCGCCGCACUGCACCCACGGGACCAAGAGUACGUCGAGGUCGUGUGCGGGGCGUCCCUCGUCCAGUCGUACGGUGUCGCGGAGGCUGCUGGCUGCGGACUGCAACAGGCGUACUGCGCGACGCAGCUCGACUCGAUUGGCGGCCCGCUGGGGCCGGUGCACGUCAAGAUGCGCGACGUCUUCGCCACCGGCGCCGCCUUUGUUGGGAGCGCCGCCACCGCAGCGGCAGCCUCGAGCGGUGGAUGCAGCCCUGUUUGGAGCGGCUGGACCCAUCAGUCAGAGCGGCCAACGGGUGAGCUGCUGCUGCGCGGCCCCACCGUCAUGGCCGGAUACUACCGGCAACCGGAGAGGACGGCGGCGGUGCUGGAGAAGAGCGGCUGGCUGCACACCGAGGAAGUCGUAGAGCGCUGCCCGGAUGGCUCUUUCCGUCGCAUCGCCUCCCUGCGCCCGCACCACGCCACGACGAGCAACGGUCACUGCAUCGCCCUCGAGCCACUCGAGGCGCUCUACGCGCAGCACCCGCUCUGCCUGGAGGGCGGGGUCUGCGUGCUGGUGCAUCCGUAUCGGCGGUACGUCUGCGCCCUCGUCCUUACUGAUGAGCGCCGCCUGCGCGACUUUCUUCAGACAACCGCCGCGGCUGCGGCGGCACUGCCGUCGCCGCACUCUCAACCGAGUUCGCCCACCUCGCCGCUGCCGUCGUCGCCCUCACCGCAACGGCUGCUGAACUGGGCUGCGUUCGCCGGUGAGGGCUGGCCACAGUGCCUGGGCGAUCCGGCGCUGAACCAGGCCGCUGCCGCCUCGCUCGCGGCGUGGGCGACGCAGCACGGCGAGGCCGCCCCGCACGAGCGCGUGCGGCACGUCCGCGUCCUGUACGACGUGUGGGACGUGGCUCAUCACACACGCACCGCGACGGGGCGGUUGUUCCGUCCUGCGAUCCACUAUCGCUACAGAGGCGUCAUCCAGGAGCUCUUCGCGGACGAGGACUGACGGGCAGCCCCGCACGGCGGGAGAGCGGUUGGGGGCGACUGCAUAGCAUGUGUGCGGUUCCCGCCCUCACGCACACAGCGCUGCUGCUGCUGCUGUUGUUGCCCUGUCCCACCCACCCACCCCCCUCACCCAUCCAUGUCUGCGUGUCCUUUCCAUAUGUUGCUCAUGUGUUGUGAGGCCCUCUCUUCGGCCCUCUACCCGCGCGCCAGACAGCGGAGCUUGCCAAGUGCAUGCGCAGCGGGCAGGGUGUUGUGUCGAUAUACACCUUAUCUACAACGUUGUUGUGACGGGCACACGAACCAUCACGCCGCGCGAGAAGCACACGAGAGCGAUGCAGCGUCCCUUUCCCUGGACGUGUGCAAGGCGCAUGGACAGCGUAGCGCACACGGAUGGAGGUGAACGCAUCACCACCACGCUCGCCGCUGCGUGUAUCCGUGCGGCGCCUAUCGAGCGUGUGCGUAUGUGCGUUGCCGUCUGACGCGAAACUCGUCAGCAGUGCGCAACGGCGACACCUUUCUCUCCCCUCCCUCACGCCCACGGUACAGCACCUGAGCGCUCUCUCUCCCUCUCUGACUCGUCGCCGUUCUGCCCCUCCUCCCCACGCCUCUACCGGCGCAUCGAUGCGCACGUGCGCGUCUUCGCGGAUGUACGUCUUUUAUGUCUGUUAACCGCCCUACACACCCACCCACAUACAUACACACUCGCACGCAAUCUUCUCCCUCGCCGUCUACGCUGCAUCGCAUGUGAUGGCCAUACGAACCACGCCGCCGACACAUCCCCACAUCAUCGUGCUGCUCACCGAAG
Molecule: unclassified non-coding RNA, 6044 nt
Filed under: Leishmania donovani
Lineage: Eukaryota; Euglenozoa; Kinetoplastea; Trypanosomatida; Trypanosomatidae
Description: gene:LdHU3.01.0630(CDS-product:long-chain-fatty-a cid-CoA_ligase_putative)
Source: RNAcentral